UGGCUGGAGUAAAAUUUUCAGUUGCAAUUCGCAAUUCUCUAUAAGUGUACAAGGUUGUGUUCUGAAUGCUUGAAACCACAUCAUCAACUUCUGUCGUAUGUCUAGGUGGGGAAGCUCCCUUCUUUUUGAAACAUGAAUAUAAACAAGUCAUCACCAGGUUGCUAUGCAAACCAAUAUCUCCAAUGAAACUUGUAUAUUGUCCUUCUUAAUUCUUCAACAGCAAUUGAAAUUUCAGAUUACACACAGCAACACAAAAG
This 257-nucleotide unclassified non-coding RNA is filed under the name Hevea brasiliensis (rubber tree). Lineage: Eukaryota; Viridiplantae; Streptophyta; Magnoliopsida; Malpighiales; Euphorbiaceae. The record is from RNAcentral.